This 549-nucleotide ribosomal RNA is filed under the name uncultured bacterium. RNAcentral's name for it is "partial 16S ribosomal RNA". It matches the Rfam family "Bacterial small subunit ribosomal RNA", at positions 355 to 895 of the family's 1533-position model. The record is from RNAcentral.
UGGGGAAUUUUGGACAAUGGGCGCAAGCCUGAUCCAGCCAUGCCGCGUGCGGGAAGAAGGCCUUCGGGUUGUAAACCGCUUUUGUCAGGGAAGAAAUCUUCUGAGUUAAUACCUCGGGAGGAUGACGGUACCUGAAGAAUAAGCACCGGCUAACUACGUGCCAGCAGCCGCGGUAAUACGUAGGGUGCAAGCGUUAAUCGGAAUUACUGGGCGUAAAGCGUGCGCAGGCGGUUUUGUAAGACAGAGGUGAAAUCCCCGGGCUCAACCUGGGAACUGCCUUUGUGACUGCAAGGCUUGAGUGCGGCAGAGGGGGGAUGGAAUUCCGCGUGUAGCAGUGAAAUGCGUAGAUAUGCGGAGGAACACCGAUGGCGAAGGCAAUCCCCUGGGCCUGCACUGACGCUCAUGCACGAAAGCGUGGGGAGCAAACAGGAUUAGAUACCCUGGUAGUCCACGCCCUAAACGAUGUCAACUGGUUGUUGGGAAGGUUCCUUCUCAGUAACGUAGCUAACGCGUGAAGUUGACCGCCUGGGGGAGUACGGCCGCAAGGUU